UAGGGAAUCUUCGGCAAUGGGGGGAACCCUGACCGAGCAACGCCGCGUGAGUGAAGAAGGUUUUCGGAUCGUAUAGCCCUGUUGUUAAGGAAGAACGAGUGUGAGAAUGGAAAGUUCAUACUGUGACGGUACUUAACCAGAAAGGGACGGCUAACUACGUGCCAGCAGCCGCGGUAAUACGUAGGUCCCGAGCGUUGUCCGGAUUUAUUGGGCGUAAAGCGAGCGCAGGCGGUUAGAUAAGUCUGAAGUUAAAGGCAGUGGCUCAACCAUUGUAGGCUUUGGAAACUGUUUAACUUGAGUGCAGAAUGGGAGAGUGGAAUUCCAUGUGUAGCGGUGAAAUGCGUAGAUAUAUGGAGGAACACCGGUGGCGAAAGCGGCUCUCUGGUCUGUAACUGACGCAGAGGCUCGAAAGCGUGGGGAGCGAACAGG
Molecule: ribosomal RNA, 429 nt
Filed under: Bacteroidota bacterium
Lineage: Bacteria; Pseudomonadati; Bacteroidota
Description: Bacteroidetes bacterium partial 16S ribosomal RNA
Rfam family: Bacterial small subunit ribosomal RNA
Source: RNAcentral